This 676-nucleotide ribosomal RNA is filed under the name Sphingobacteriaceae bacterium AR1(7). Its description in RNAcentral is "bacterial SSU rRNA". It matches the Rfam family "Bacterial small subunit ribosomal RNA", at positions 49 to 723 of the family's 1533-position model. Lineage: Bacteria; Pseudomonadati; Bacteroidota; Sphingobacteriia; Sphingobacteriales; Sphingobacteriaceae. The record is from RNAcentral.
CUAUACAUGCAGUCGGACGGGAUUGGAGAGCUUGCUUUCCAUGAGAGUGGCGCACGGGUGCGUAACACGUAUGUAACCUACCUUGAUCAGGGGGAUAGCCUCUCGAAAGAGAGAUUAAGACCGCAUAACAUUGCAAUGUGGCAUCACAAAGCAAUCAAAUAUUUAUAGGAUCAAGAUGGGCAUGCGGAACAUUAGCUAGUUGGUAAGGUAACGGCUUACCAAGGCUACGAUGUUUAGGGGAUCUGAGAGGAUGACCCCCCACACUGGUACUGAGACACGGACCAGACUCCUACGGGAGGCAGCAGUAAGGAAUAUUGGUCAAUGGGCGCAAGCCUGAACCAGCCAUGCCGCGUGCAGGAAGACGGCCCUAUGGGUUGUAAACUGCUUUUAUACUGGAAUAAACCUCUUUACGUGUAGAGAGUUGAAUGUACAGUAAGAAUAAGGAUCGGCUAACUCCGUGCCAGCAGCCGCGGUAAUACGGAGGAUCCAAGCGUUAUCCGGAUUUAUUGGGUUUAAAGGGUGCGUAGGUGGUUCUUUAAGUCAGGGGUGAAAGACGGCAGCUUAACUGUCGCAGUGCCUUUGAUACUGAAGAACUUGAAUCCACUAGAGGUAGGCGGAAUGUGACAAGUAGCGGUGAAAUGCAUAGAUAUGUCACACAACACCAAUUGCGAAGGUA